AGAUACCCCUGAAAGAAACCAGUAACAUCAGGUACCUUUUAAUCAACGCUUGACUUCCCAGAGUUCGAAUGUUUUCUGCUUUCCUUAAAAGGAAGGACACCCCUGCCCAGUCCCUCCUGUCAAAGCGGGGACAUGACCUUGUCAGCAGUGGCUCAGCGGAGGGACUGUGAAUUAUAUCACGGAGAAUUAGCUCCUUCCAUGAAGCUGCUACGGAAGAAAGCCAUUCCCACUACGUUUUCCGUAUUCACAUAUGAAAAA
This is a long non-coding RNA of Leopardus geoffroyi (Geoffroy's cat), 258 nucleotides long. RefSeq lists it as uncharacterized. The transcript has 2 exons. The record is from RefSeq and is a predicted model, not a curated record. Lineage: Eukaryota; Metazoa; Chordata; Mammalia; Carnivora; Felidae.